This 404-nucleotide ribosomal RNA is filed under the name uncultured bacterium. Its description in RNAcentral is "bacterial SSU rRNA". It matches the Rfam family "Bacterial small subunit ribosomal RNA", at positions 30 to 432 of the family's 1533-position model. The record is from RNAcentral.
AUUGAACGCUGGCGGCAGGCCUAACACAUGCAAGUCGAGCGGUAGCACAGGAGAGCUUGCUCUCUGGGUGACGAGCGGCGGACGGGUGAGUAAUGUCUGGGAAACUGCCUGAUGGAGGGGGAUAACUACUGGAAACGGUAGCUAAUACCGCAUAAUGUCGCAAGACCAAAGAGGGGGACCUUCGGGCCUCUUGCCAUCAGAUGUGCCCAGAUGGGAUUAGCUAGUAGGUGGGGUAAUGGCUCACCUAGGCGACGAUCCCUAGCUGGUCUGAGAGGAUGACCAGCCACACUGGAACUGAGACACGGUCCAGACUCCUACGGGAGGCAGCAGUGGGGAAUAUUGCACAAUGGCGCAAGCCUGAUGCAGCCAUGCCGCGUGUAUGAAGAAGGCCUCGGUUGUAAGUA